GGCAAUCAAAACCAGAUUGUGUGGAGUAUUAACCAAGGUCAUCAAUCAAUAGAUCAACGGGGGUCAAAAAUAAAUAAAGUUGCUUUAAGUCGCGUGACAUUUCUAAACUGUAAGAAUUAUUAACACGUUGUUGGAAAAAAUAGGCCUCAAAGCAUCAUGGACUCGUAAGAGAUGUUUACGUCGAGCUAUCACGGACUGUUUCACGAAAUCUGAUCGCCAUAAGCAGUAAGCGAUACCUAAAGCGUUGUCACUGGACCAAUCCAAAAAAAUUUUUUUUUGUUUUAAAUCAAGAAGUACAGAAAUAGAAAUAUAUUUUUGGGCAGACGAGCAGAUUACUGUCUAUUUUAAGGUAAGUAGCACAGCCAAGUCCAUCCGUGCGAUUCUGUAAGCGUUGUUUAACAAACUCGCACGUGAAUUUGGUGUGAGUUUUCAAAUUGGCAUUCUGUAAAUUUCAUUGUAGUGCCGAAUCUACACUAGCGCCCCUCGCGGGUGAAUUGAACUAGCAAGCGUGAGUUUUUUUUACUAAAAUGUAUGAGUUGACGUUUGAAACGGCAUUCUGUAGUGUAAAUCACGUCGAAUUUCGGCAAGAACUUCGCAUCGCAAAAUCAUUUUAUUUGUCAAAUCAAAAGUUAGUGUUUUAAGUGUUUGUUGUGAGUGAGAAUAUACGAAAACGUUAUAAACCGCUGUUAAUUAUUAAAAAAAUACUAUUAAUUAACAAAAUUGCACUUUAAAAUAACUUUAUUCUUCAUCGAUAUUUUAUGGAGCAUAUGUUUUUAUUGAAAACAUUGUUGAAAAGGCUGACGCUACGGAUCAGCGUGAAAUGCGUCGACAAGCCUACGAAAUUCACAAUUUAUCACUUUUAACUUGAGAUGACGACUAUGUAAAAGUAUAAAGAAAGUGUAUAGAUUGUCGAAGGAUCAUAUGAACCAGUUAGGGUGUGAAUUACACCCUUUGACGAAGACCACUAAAAGCCAUUGAAAAGGACUUUCAACUCUUCUAAAGUUUCAGUUACUGUGCACCUUGUUUAUUUGGGCAAAUGAAGUUACCAAAAAAAUCAUAAAAGAAAAUAUAAGAACAUAUUUGUCCCAGAUAUCCCAGUGUAUAUCUGAGGUUGUGGAAGCUCUGAACAACCCAGCAACUAUAUAUAAAUAUUUAAGAUUCCCGCAGAAUGCUCAAGAAUGGCAAAAGUUGAAGGAAAACUGAAGAAAAAAGAAGAAGGUGGUUUAAACUAAAUAAAUAUCUUUCUUCUUCAUAAAAAAGUACCAAUAUUAAUCUAAUGCAAAAUAUUGCAGUUUUUGUAAUAAAAUUAAAAUCACUUUGGUUGUUGGGUGUAUUGAUGGGACGUUGGUGGCCUUAAAAAGACCUGCUACCAAUAAAAAAUGGUUUUACUGUCACAAAGGCUAUCAUGCCAGAAAAUGUACAAUUUGUAAAGCCAUUAAUAUUUUUCGAAAUUCUGAUGAUAUGUAAUCCAUAAACGAAAUGUGUAUUAUGAACUAUGUAUUCAGAUUGUAUUCAUUUCAGUUAAAUUGAAUUGUGUAUAUUGCUUUAAAGUUAUUGUGAAAUUUAGUAUUUAUAUUAAAUAAACUUUAUUCAGUUAUAAAAAAAACAAAAUAAAAUCUACUAAAGAUUAGUCAAUGACAGCAAGUAAUGACCAUUAUAAUUAUUUAACAUCUUUUCGGUCUUUCUGUAUAUGCUCAACGUUCCAACCUUACGAAACCUUUUGCUAAUUUUUUUUCAUUUCACCAUCUAAAUGGUUAGACGAGCUCACAGCCCACCUGGUGUUAAGUGGUUACUGGAGCCCUUGGACAUCUACAACGUAAAUGCGCCACCAACCUUGAGAUAUAAAUUCAAAGGUCUCAGUAUAGUUACAACGGCUGCGCCACCCUUCAAACCGAAACGCAUUACUGCUUCAGAAAUAGGCGAUAAUGCUAUGCUAGCUAAUACCUGCUAAUAAUGGCUAGCUAAUGCUAAUACGGAGAGAGAUACUCCUGAAGCUUUGUAGCACCACCUUCAUUCCACUGCCCAUAACUCAGUGAAAAGAACAAUAGUUCUGUUAGAGUAGAUUCAGGUGUUUGCUGAUCCAUAGGGUGCCAAUUUAUCACCCUGAUAAGGUAGCAAAAAUAGCUGUUGCGUGUUGUGUUUUGCACAACAUUUGCAAUUGUGCAGAGCUGCCAGUUCCCAUAAUCUCAGACUAUGAGAUUACAUUUACAUUAUGGUGGUCAUGUUGAAUUACUUUGUUAAAUUCUACUAAUUAGCUUACUUAUAGUGUGAAGUAACUUCAAAUAUAAAUUAAUGAUUUAUAAAAA
Bombyx mori (domestic silkworm) is the source of this 2306-nucleotide long non-coding RNA. RefSeq lists it as uncharacterized. The transcript has 2 exons. The record is from RefSeq and is a predicted model, not a curated record. Lineage: Eukaryota; Metazoa; Arthropoda; Insecta; Lepidoptera; Bombycidae.